RNAcentral lists this long non-coding RNA (296 nucleotides) under Elaeis guineensis (African oil palm). RNAcentral's name for it is "long non-coding RNA (EGUI_LNC043575)". Lineage: Eukaryota; Viridiplantae; Streptophyta; Magnoliopsida; Arecales; Arecaceae. The record is from RNAcentral.
AUCCGACCUCUAUAGGUAUCUACUCAGGAUCAACCUGAAACAGUCCUCUUCAAGUUAAAUUUUUUUCUUUAAAAAAAUUCAACCUGCUGAAUCUGAAUGAAGACUGGAUCGUGAUCAACACUUGAUCUCUUUCCUUGAUCUUCUUCUUCUCUUUUUUUUGUUACCUUUCUCCCUGACUUUGUGCUACUACCAAACUUUAGAAAUCAGCAAAUAGGAGAUGCCCAAUAGCUUGGGCAUGGAGAAGAAGUGGGACAUCCCAAAAGGGAGGAUAUGUGGGACACCAAGGGAGAAGAGAG